RNAcentral lists this ribosomal RNA (253 nucleotides) under uncultured bacterium. Its description in RNAcentral is "partial 16S ribosomal RNA". It matches the Rfam family "Bacterial small subunit ribosomal RNA", at positions 524 to 776 of the family's 1533-position model. The record is from RNAcentral.
UACGUAGGUGGCAAGCGUUGUCCGGAUUUACUGGGCGUAAAGGAUGCGUAGGCGGACAUUUAAGUCAGAUGUGAAAUACCCGAGCUUAACUUGGGUGCUGCAUUUGAAACUGGGUGUCUAGAGUGCAGGAGAGGUAAGUGGAAUUCCUAGUGUAGCGGUGAAAUGCGUAGAGAUUAGGAAGAACACCAGUGGCGAAGGCGACUUACUGGACUGUAACUGACGCCGAGGCAUGAAAGCGUGGGGAGCAAACAGG